UACGUAGGUGGCAAGCGUUGUCCGGAAUUACUGGGUGUAAAGGGCGCGUAGACGGGUAAGCAAGUCAGAUGUGAAAUACCGGGGCUCAACUCCGGGGCUGCAUUUGAAACUGUUUAUCUUGAGUGCAGGAGAGGGAAGCGGAAUUCCUAGUGUAGCGGUAAAAUGCGUAGAUAUUAGGAGGAACACCGGUGGCGAAGGCGGCUUUCUGGACUGUAACUGACGUUGAGGCGCGAAAGCGUGGGUAGCAAAC
RNAcentral lists this ribosomal RNA (250 nucleotides) under uncultured prokaryote. RNAcentral describes it as "partial 16S ribosomal RNA". It matches the Rfam family "Bacterial small subunit ribosomal RNA", at positions 524 to 773 of the family's 1533-position model. The record is from RNAcentral.